ACGGAAGGCAGCAGUGGGGAAUAUUGCACAAUGGGGGAAACCCUGAUGCAGCGACGCCGCGUGAGUGAAGAAGUAUUUCGGUAUGUAAAGCUCUAUCAGCAAGGAAGAAAAUGACGGUACUUGACUAAGAAGCCCCGGCUAACUACGUGCCAGCAGCCGCGGUAAUACGUCGGGGGCAAGCGUUAUCCGGAUUUACUGGGUGUAAAGGGAGCGUAGACGGUAAUGCAAGUCAGAAGUGAAAGCCCAAGGCUCAACCAUGGGACUGCUUUUGAAACUGUAAUACUAGAGUGCAGGAGAGGUAAGUGGAAUUCCUAGUGUAGCGGUGAAAUGCGUAGAUAUUAGGAGGAACACCAGUGGCGAAGGCGGCUUACUGGACUGUAACUGACGUUGAGGCUCGAAAGCGUGGGGAGCAAACAGGAUUAGAUACCCUGGUA
RNAcentral lists this ribosomal RNA (434 nucleotides) under uncultured Lachnospiraceae bacterium. Its description in RNAcentral is "partial 16S ribosomal RNA". It matches the Rfam family "Bacterial small subunit ribosomal RNA", at positions 341 to 792 of the family's 1533-position model. Lineage: Bacteria; Bacillati; Bacillota; Clostridia; Lachnospirales; Lachnospiraceae. The record is from RNAcentral.